This 117-nucleotide ribosomal RNA is filed under the name Nonomuraea pusilla. The record is from RNAcentral. Lineage: Bacteria; Bacillati; Actinomycetota; Actinomycetes; Streptosporangiales; Streptosporangiaceae. RNAcentral also lists the same sequence under 1 other name.
UGCGGUGGUUAUGGCGGGAAGGAAACACCCGGUUACAUUCCGAACCCGGAAGUUAAGCUUCUCUGCGCCGAUGGUACUGCACUCGGGAGGGUGUGGGAGAGUAGGUCGCCGCCGCAC